UGCCUGGGACUUACGAAUUUUGCUUGUACAAGAUUUAUUAUCUUAUUUUAAACUACAGAAUUCCAAAACACAAGGCAAACCCGGGCCCAAAGGUCUUUGUAGAAGUGGUAGCAGCUGAGAAGGGGACGUUCAUAAUGGCACAUGGAAAUUGGAGGCGUGUGGAGAGAAAACAGACUGUGGGGUCUGAAGACCUGGAACUGUGUACCAGUCCUAUAGUUAACAAGCUCAACCUAUCAGCUGAGGAAUAAGUAGGUUUGGACUAGGCCUGGGCUUCCCAAAGAAACAGCCUGACACUGCUGAUCUGGGAUUUGUGAACAUUCCAUAAUAUUGACUCACGUAAUGACAUGUUAAUCCUUUUCUUCAAUUUAUGUUCAGUACUUUUCUUGCAUUAUAUCAUGGAGAAAGCUUCAAUUUUAUGCUGAGCAAACCUCAGGCUCAGACCCUUUGGCAGGCAGCAGUAUCUAGCUGGAAUUUAAAAAUCACUCCCCUCACCUCCCGCGGCAUUUGAUGUUAAGGUCACUACUAAUUAUGGCAAGUGAUCCUGCUAUUCCAUUUACAAAAAUAAUACAAU
This 571-nucleotide long non-coding RNA is filed under the name Homo sapiens (human). RNAcentral describes it as "HSALNT0381621". Lineage: Eukaryota; Metazoa; Chordata; Mammalia; Primates; Hominidae. The record is from RNAcentral.